CCUACGGGUGGCUGCAGUGGGGAAUCUUGCACAAUGGGCGAAAGCCUGAUGCAGCAACGCCGCGUGAGCGAAGAAGGCCUUUGGGUCGUAAAGCUCUGUCCUAAGGGGAGAAGGCAGUGACGGUACCUUAGGAGGAAGCCCCGGCUAACUACGUGCCAGCAGCCGCGGUAAUACGUAGGGGGCAAGCGUUAUCCGGAAUUAUUGGGCGUAAAGAGUACGUAGGCGGUUCGUUAAGCGCAGGGUUUAAGGCGAUAGCUUAACUAUCGUUCGCCCUGUGAACUGGGGGACUUGAGUAUCGGAGAGGAAAGCGGAAUUCCGAGUGUAGCGGUGAAAUGCGUAGAUAUUAGGAGGAACACCAGUGGCGAAGGCGGCUUUCUGGACGAAAACGGACGCUGAGGUACGAAAGCGUGGGGAGCAAACAGGAUUAGAUACCCGGGUAGUC
This 442-nucleotide ribosomal RNA is filed under the name uncultured bacterium. RNAcentral's name for it is "partial 16S ribosomal RNA". It matches the Rfam family "Bacterial small subunit ribosomal RNA", at positions 338 to 795 of the family's 1533-position model. The record is from RNAcentral.